GGCAAUAUGGGGUUUGUGCUAAAAUUACCUGGGGACCUUACCAAAGACUUCAGUUCUUUUCAUCACUACCCUCAUUAGUGUGAUCAUCAUACCUCUCCCACAGAAUUUACUGAACGUUAGCUCUUUGUCCGUCUGUUUGAUUUCCACACUAGAUGGUGAACCCUUCAAUGGCAAACAUCUAUUCAAUCAAAAAGCACAGUCAUUUCACAGCUCCAGAACAACAUAGACCAGUUUUCUUUUCUGGGGAUCAGCCAAUCUUACUUUCUCCUCAGAGGCUGUCACUUGAGGAAUACUUUUUGAUAUGGCUUUUUACUAUGGCUUAUACAGGGAUGGUGAGAAAUAUAUGCUUUCUCAAGGAUCAGACUCUGUUUCAGGAACUGCUGCAUUUUUAA
Molecule: long non-coding RNA, 392 nt
Filed under: Vulpes vulpes (red fox)
Lineage: Eukaryota; Metazoa; Chordata; Mammalia; Carnivora; Canidae
Description: lncRNA (ENSVVUG00000027736.1)
Source: RNAcentral